GAUGAACGCUAGCGGCAGGCUUAAUACAUGCAAGUCGUGGGGCAGCAUGAGUAGCAAUACUUGAUGGCGACCGGCAAACGAGUGAGGAACACGUACACAACCUUCCUUCAAGCGGGGAAUAGCCCAGAGAAAUUUGGAUUAAUACCCCAUAAUAUAUUUGAUAAGGCAUCUUAUUAAUAUUAAAGCUUCGGCACUUGAUGAUGGGUGUGCGGCUGAUUAGAUAGUUGGCGGGGUAACGGCCCACCAAGUCUACGAUCAGUAGCUGAUGUGAGAGCAUGAUCAGCCACACGGGCACUGAGACACGGGCCCGACUCCUACGGGAGGCAGCAGUAAGGAAUAUUGGACAAUGGACGAAAGUCUGAUCCAGCCAUGCCGCGUGAAGGAUUAAGGUCCUCUGGAUUGUAAACUUCUUUAUAUGGGACGAAAAAGGCAUUCUGUUCACUUGACGGUACCAUAUGAAUAAGCACCGGCUAACUCCGUGCCAG
RNAcentral lists this ribosomal RNA (485 nucleotides) under uncultured bacterium. Its description in RNAcentral is "bacterial SSU rRNA". It matches the Rfam family "Bacterial small subunit ribosomal RNA", at positions 28 to 511 of the family's 1533-position model. The record is from RNAcentral.